GACGAACGCUGGCGGCGUGCUUAACACAUGCAAGUCGAACGGAAAGGCCCUGCUUUUGUGGGGUGCUCGAGUAGCGAACGGGUGAGUAACACGUGAGUAACCUGCCCUUGACUUUGGGAUAACUUCAGGAAACUGGGGCUAAUACCGGAUAGGAGCUCCUGCUGCAUGGUGGGGGUUGGAAAGUUUCGGCGGUUGGGGAUGGACUCGCGGCUUAUCAGCUUGUUGGUGGGGUAGUGGCUUACCAAGGCUUUGACGGGUAGCCGGCCUGAGAGGGUGACCGGCCAUAUUGGGACUGAGAUACGGCCCAGACUCCUACGGGAGGCAGCAGUGGGGAAUAUUGCACAAUGGGCGGAAGCCUGAUGCAGCAACGCCGCGUGCGGGAUGACGGCCUUCGGGUUGUAAACCGCUUUCGCCUGUGACGAAGCGUGAGUGACGGUAAUGGGUAAAGAAGCACCGGCUAACUACGUG
This 468-nucleotide ribosomal RNA is filed under the name uncultured bacterium. RNAcentral describes it as "partial 16S ribosomal RNA". It matches the Rfam family "Bacterial small subunit ribosomal RNA", at positions 28 to 507 of the family's 1533-position model. The record is from RNAcentral.